This 465-nucleotide ribosomal RNA is filed under the name uncultured bacterium. RNAcentral describes it as "partial 16S ribosomal RNA". It matches the Rfam family "Bacterial small subunit ribosomal RNA", at positions 338 to 795 of the family's 1533-position model. The record is from RNAcentral.
CCUACGGGGGGCAGCAGUGGGGAAUAUUGCGCAAUGGGCGAAAGCCUGACGCAGCGACGCCGCGUGAGGGAUGAAGGUCUUCGGAUCGUAAACCUCUGUCAGCAGGGAAGAACGGUCACUGUGCUAAUCAGCAGUGAAUUGACGGUACCUGCAAAGGAAGCACCGGCUAACUCCGUGCCAGCAGCCGCGGUAAUACGGAGGGUGCGAGCGUUAAUCGGAAUUACUGGGCGUAAAGCGCUCGUAGGCGGUAUGUCAAGUCAAGGGUGAAAGCCCCGCGCUCAACGUGUGAACUGCCUUUGAAACUGGCAAACUGGAGUGGGUGAGAGGAUAGUGGAAUUCCAGGUGUAGGAGUGAAAUCCGUAGAUAUCUGGAGGAACACCAGUGGCGAAGGCGACUAUCUGGCACAUAACUGACGCUGAGGAGCGAAAGCGUGGGUAGCAAACAGGAUUAGAUACCCGGGUAGUC